RNAcentral lists this ribosomal RNA (272 nucleotides) under uncultured bacterium. Its description in RNAcentral is "partial 16S ribosomal RNA". It matches the Rfam family "Bacterial small subunit ribosomal RNA", at positions 84 to 354 of the family's 1533-position model. The record is from RNAcentral.
UCUGAUGGCGACCGGCGUACGGGUGAGUAACGCGUAUCCAACCUGCCCUUUACUAUGGGACAGCCCGUCGAAAGGCGGAUUAAUACCGUAUGUUGUCAUGUUGAUGCAUAUUUUCAUGACCAAAGGCUUCGGCCGGUAAAGGAUGGGGAUGCGUCUGAUUAGCUUGCCGGCGGGGUAACGGCCCACCGGGGCGACGAUCAGUAGGGGUUCUGAGAGGAAGGUCCCCCACGUUGGAACUGAGACACGGUCCAAACUCCUACGGAAGGCAGCAG